RNAcentral lists this long non-coding RNA (1447 nucleotides) under Homo sapiens (human). RNAcentral's name for it is "HSALNT0167134". The record is from RNAcentral. Lineage: Eukaryota; Metazoa; Chordata; Mammalia; Primates; Hominidae.
AGAGGCAGAAACUCCAAUAGAGGGAGGAAGAGAGGAGAACCAGAGAGGGAAGGGUUCAGGGCCCAGACUGGCAGAGAGAGAGAAACACUACCAGAGACAGAGGCGGAGAAGCACAGGGCAGAGGAGGACAGGAAUGGAUGGGAGGAAAGGAGGAAAAAAGGAGAGAGGGAGACAGAAAUAAGGAAAGAAGGGAACAAGAGAGACUGAGAAGAGGAAAUGUACAGAGGAAGGAAAUGAGAAGGAAAGACAAGAGAGAAAGGGAGUAAAGAGAUCAAGGCAGGAAGAGGAGCAAGCCCCAGGGAGCCCUCAGGCCCUCCAGCCUGUUCCGCCUCCAGCAACCCCCUCCCCCAACUCCUUCUGGCCUGGCAACCCGCAGGCCAUGCUGGGGAGUGGGUACCAGGCGGCAGCGGAGCCGAGGCAGGAGAGUGGAAUGUCUUCGUGAUAUGUUUAUCCCCUAAUCAGUUCAUUAGUUAUAAACAACAUGACAUUAGAAGUUAGGAGGCAGUUGAUAUUAAUUUUUAUUUAACUAGUUGAUGUUUAAUCCGUCACGCCAGGCUGGGUAGCGGCGAGAAAGAUCUUCCUGACACAAAACCAGUUAGAACUUCAUAAGGCACAAUCAGUGUCCGCGCCUUGAAACAAACAAGAGAGACAGAGACAGAGAGACAGGGAGAGACAGAGAGACAGAGAGACAGUGGCAGCCCUGCCAGAGAUGGAGUCGGAGACAGAGACAGAGUGGAGGGCUGGGAGAGAGCUAACCCAGGGCAAGAGCUGGGGGAAAAUAAACUAGAAAGGCAGAGAGCUCAGACAGCUGGCAAGGGGCUGACAGCCCUGAACCUGGGCUCCAAGCCCAGGACAGCCCCGACUUAAUAGGGACCAGGAGACCAACGCCCUGGGAAAGUCCGGCCAGGGCAGUGGUGGGGUGGUCGACCAGGGCCCUGCCAAGCCUGGCCGCUGCAACUACUAGCGCCUUCCGACAAGGAAAGUGUUUAGUGUCCAUCGGUCUGGUGGGUGGCAAGGGUCUAAUGUCACAGCGAGGCGAGGCCCUGACUUUCGGAAACUCCUCUCCCAGGUCUGGAGGCCAAGAACUUCUUCCCUCCCUGCUCCAGGAGGAGCCGGCCCAGGCAAGAGAGGAAAGGAGAAAAGGGCGUGAACUUUGCACCCAGCGGUUCAAGUUUCACAAAGUUUGUUGCGGUCACAGACAGAGAGGGGUGUGUGUGUGUGCACGUGUAAGCUCGCCAGUGGCAAAGAGGGAGGAAGUAAGAGACGGCGUGGGGAUUCUGCAGGCGGGGGAGGGCAUUUCCCCGGGUUUGACUAAGCCUUCAGGCGCGUCCCUGCAUGCGGGCUCCUCGGGUGGCGGCCCUGGCUGCAAGUCUAAGGUCCCCUUGGCUUGCCCGGAUUAAUCUCCCCCUCUCAACCCCGCCCCCGAGCAGGAGCACUCGGCUUUUUC